Molecule: ribosomal RNA, 465 nt
Filed under: uncultured bacterium
Lineage: Bacteria
Description: bacterial SSU rRNA
Rfam family: Bacterial small subunit ribosomal RNA
Source: RNAcentral
CCUACGGGUCGCAGCAGUGGGGAAUAUUGCACAAUGGGCGCAAGCCUGAUGCAGCCAUGCCGCGUGUACGAAGAAGGCCUUCGGGUUGUAAAGUACUUUCAGCGGGGAGGAAGGCGGUGAGGUUAAUAACCUCACCGAUUGACGUUACCCGCAGAAGAAGCACCGGCUAACUCCGUGCCAGCAGCCGCGGUAAUACGGAGGGUGCAAGCGUUAAUCGGAAUUACUGGGCGUAAAGCGCACGCAGGCGGUCUGUCAAGUCGGAUGUGAAAUCCCCGGGCUCAACCUGGGAACUGCAUUCGAAACUGGCGGGCUAGAGUCUUGUAGAGGGGGGUAGAAUUCCAGGUGUAGCGGUGAAAUGCGUAGAGAUCUGGAGGAAUACCGGUGGCGAAGGCGGCCCCCUGGACAAAGACUGACGCUCAGGUGCGAAAGCGUGGGGAGCAAACAGGAUUAGAUACCCGAGUAGUC